Molecule: ribosomal RNA, 300 nt
Filed under: uncultured soil bacterium
Lineage: Bacteria
Description: bacterial SSU rRNA
Rfam family: Bacterial small subunit ribosomal RNA
Source: RNAcentral
AGAUUGAACGCUGGCGGCAGGCCUAACACAUGCAAGUCGAGCGGUAGAGAGGUGCUUGCACCUCUUGAGAGCGGCGGACGGGUGAGUAAUGCCUAGGAAUCUGCCUAGUGGAGGGGGAUAACGUUCGGAAACGGACGCUAAUACCGCAUACGUCCUACGGGAGAAAGCGGGGGACCUUCGGGCCUCGCGCCAUUAGAUGAGCCUAGGUCGGAUUAGGCUAGUUGGUGAGGUAAUGGCUCACCGAAGGCGACGAUCCGUAACUGGUCUGAGAGGAUGAUCAGUCACACUGGAACUGAGACA